Molecule: RNA transcript, 5695 nt
Organism: Aethalodelphis obliquidens (Pacific white-sided dolphin)
Lineage: Eukaryota; Metazoa; Chordata; Mammalia; Artiodactyla; Delphinidae
Gene: EBPL
Gene name: EBP like
Exons: 9
Source: RefSeq, a predicted model, not a curated record
CGGGCGGCCGGGCGGCCGGGCGGCCAGGCGGAAGGGUAAGCCUCCGUCCGCUCCGCUCCGCCCCGUCCCGGCCGAGUAGCCCCGCCCCCUCGCCGCCCCGCUUCUCCCGCCGCACCGGGCAAUCCUGGUUGGUGGUGCCCCGCGGUCGGCGCCGGGAGUGGGAAGCAUGCGCGGCGACUGGGAACUGGGCGCCGCGGCUGGAGGCCCGCUGCUGCUGUGCGCCGCGCUGCUGGCCGUGGGCUGCGCACUGGGUCUGCGCCUGGGCCGCGGCCUGGGGGCUGCGGACCGCGGGGCGCUAGCCUGGCUCUGCUUCGACGCCCUGGUGCACUUCGCGCUGGAAGGCCCUUUUGUCUACUUGUCUUUGGUAGGAAACAUCACAGAUUCUGAUGCCUUGAUCGCUUCAUUGUGGAAAGAAUAUGGCAAAGCUGACGCAAGAUGGCUUUAUUUGGAUCCAACCAUUGUGUCUUUGGAAAUUCUGACUGUCGUCCUGGGAGGGUUUCUGGCAUUGGUUCUCAUUUAUGCCAUCGUCAAAGGGAAACAUUAUCGGUUCUGAACAUACGACAUCGCCGCUGCCUCCGUGUGAGAGACAAUCUCAGAAUCAGCAAUUAAACGUGCCAGGCGCCCAGGCCUGGAGCAGAGCAACCGGCCGAAACCUGGGGCUUCUGAGCAGGCACAUCACAGAGAAUAAAAGGAAACAUUCUGCUUGUGCUUCAGAGAAGAGGGAUUUUCGUCAGCACCUGGAUGGAACGUUGUCAGCACCCGGAGAGACCAGAGGAAACUGGGAAAACAGGUGACAGAGCCUCCUGCGGUGCGGGAGCUGGAAACAGCUACGACUGACCAGGCCGCAUCCUGUAAACAGUGGCUAUUUAUAGAUACUGUUGACCUUGGACACAUGUAUGGCUCAGAGCAAAGUGCUUUCCUCCAGUGUCUUACCAAGACUGUCCAGCCCUCCAGUUCCCAGGCUCAAAGCACCCAUGCUUUGAGUUCCUCAGCCUUCAGAGAGGAGGUGGUAGCUGGAUGUACCGUCCCCAGACACUGUUGUGGGGAAAAGCUUCCAGGUGCCGCAGAGAUUGGGGAAUAGAGGAAGCGUUCCCACUGUUGAGGAUUUUGAUGUAAUGAUGAUAAUGGUAACGGUACUGGUAGGCACCAUUUACUGGGUUCUUUAUGUUAGGCGUUUAAUGAUCUCAUUUCCUCCUCUUGACCACUGUGCCAGGUAGGUAUCGUUAUCACCAUUUUAUUAAGAAAAAGCUGAGGUUCAGAGAGGCAAAGUAACUCUACUUUCAGCUGCAAGUGGCUGAAGCUAGGUUUUCUUAUGAUCUCACUCGACCGUAGGUAAGGAGGGAGGAGGUCCCAGGUUGGUUCAGCAGCUCAGCAGUGUCAUCCAGGAGCCAGUCUCUCUCCACAUUUCUGCGUUGGCAUCAACUUGUGGGUGAUGUUUCCUUCCCUCGGUGCAGCAGCACCAAGCUUCUCAUCCUCACACAACCAAAUUCAAAAGCAGGAAGAAGGGAAAGGUGGCAGUCUUCUCAUGUGUUUGUGUGCAUGUGUGUGUGUGUAUUUAUUUUAUCAGGAAGGAAAUCUUCCCCCAAAGCCUCCCAGUCAAUUUUAUCUGAUAUCUCACUGUCCAAGAGAAUGAAAUGACUUGAUUUGACCCGGCAGGGUUCACCUCUGAGCGUACUGUCUGUCUCUCGAGAGCUGAAUAAAACUGCGCUAUUCUUAGUGAGAAGAAAGUGGGAAUCGUGUUGGGUGGGCAACAGUAUCGACUGCAUUUCCCCAGCAUUCCACGGUAGAGGGUUGUCUUCUUACAUACAUGCUUUCUUCCAAGAUCUCUUUAACAUGAGCUAACAGUGUGUGUGUGUGUGCACACGCGUGUGUGUGCCAGCAGGCACGUCCCAGGUGCUCACACUUGGUUGCUUGUGUAGCCUGGUCAUCGAGUCCAAAGAUAAGAAAUCAGUGGAAAUGCUGCAGUAAUUCUUGCUUGCUAUCUUGCAAAUGAGAGACAGGGCAGGAUAGCAAGGCUGGGUUAGUGAGGCACCAUCAUGUAUUAAGGAAGAAGGCAGGUUGAAGAACGAGGAGAUCUGGAUUCUAGCCCCAGAUCUGCUACUUUCUAUCUGUGUUACCUUGGGUAAGUUAUUUAAUCUUUCUGAACCUCAGUUUUCUCAUCUGUAAAGCAAGAAGGUUGGACUAGGUCAUCUCUAAAUUUUGUUCAGCUCUAAUAUUCUAUAGUUACAGUGCAGUUUUUACUGAGCAGCUAUGAGCAGUGCUCUGUACAGUCUAUCACAUUAUUUUUUUUUUACAUUAUCUUUUUAAAAACCUUUCAAAAUGCAUCUGCAUGCCAUAUGAAUGGAAGAAGUCAACAUUAUUCAUGUAUAUGGAGACUAGGACAUCAUGUAACAGAAUUAGAUAUAGAAUAUAGUAUUGCAGACUCUUUUCAAAUGUCUUUAGUUUGCAUUACAAAUUGUACUUUGAGGUACUAUCACUUUAACUGGCUUGUGUUUUACAUUUACAGCACAGCUCAUCUUCCAGAACUUUUCGCUGUUUCGAGUUUCCAUUUUAUUGGAAACACCAUCUCUUUAUAACUGAGUAGAGAACACGGCAGAGUCGGGGGAAAUUUUUGUGCCUGUCUCUUUUACUCUCUCUCUCUCUCUCACUCUGAACAUAAAUAGUAUCUUGACAGCUGAUCUUUGUCGUUUCAAAAAAACACAUGAAAAGGAAACAGCAGUGGGUGAUCUGCUUUCUGAAACAGUGUAAGAAAGAUCUGAAGAGUGUUAGCUUUGCACUGAAGCUCCUUCAGCUUCUGCUUUUACAAUAUUUGCAGGAAGUUUCCUGACACUAAGGGGGAAAAGAAACAGUGGCCAGAGACUGUCUCCUGAAAAUAUGCAGGAAGGAUAAUAUGGAGGCCAAGACGGACGUGUGUGAUGAGCUCCAGCAGUGCCUCAAAACAGGAACUGAUGACAGGGAGGUUUUGCUAUUUAUCUUCCAGGGUUGUUUUAAUAUGCAAAGUAGGUCCUCAGCGGCAGCUGCUAUUCCGUCAGCCACAUUUCCUGAACUGGAUACUGUAUUUUUAGUUGACAGGAAAAAAAAACCACUUGGUUAGGAAGGAGCUCGGAUGGUCACGUCUCAGAGACUCAGAUCAGCACUUGAGACUUUACUACAUUUCCCAGAUGAGUUUCUGUCACUCUGGGCAGCAAGCAACAGAGUGUUUACUUCAAUUCUCUUCCUUGUAUUAAAAAUCAUUAUAUAAGGUAUAAUGAAUAUAUUUUUCUGUAUGAGCGUCAAACAACAUAAAAGUCUACAAGAUGAAAUUCCUAAGCUCACCGUCCAAAUCACUACUCCCCUCCUUAGAGAUAACCCACAGUUUGAUGUACAUUUUUACAGUGAUAUUUCUAUAAUAUACUCACAUAUUUUGGAGCAGACAGAUAUUUUAUUAUUUUUUUUGUUUGAUUAGGUCUUUUUUUAAUGUAAUUGUGAUAUCUGUAACAUUUCAUUUAACAAUAUUGCAGCGAUUUCUCCAUGUUAGUACAUAUAAGUCUACCUUGGUUAUCUUUUGUUACUAUUUUUAAAAAUAAUUUAUUAAAUAUUGAGAAGGCCAUAAGAAGUAUAAUACUAAAACAGGUGAAAUUAUGUGACCCUAGAGAUUUUCAGAAUCUGCAGGAGACCUUUCUAGAACAGGGAGGGCUGCAGCUUCCCCAGGCCAAUCUUGUGUGGCUGCACAGGUGUCGAUACGAUGGGGGAUCAAUGGCUGCUCUGGAGGGAAGGCAGAGCAUUCCCCAAAGAAUGGGUGUUUACACAACAUAGGAUUGUUCAGAUACUUUUGGCCCCUAGCAAACAUUGCCUAAGUGGUGUUCUUGAGGUUGGUACAUACCUAUGCUUGGGAAAGAUGUGGAGGCUGGAGGAGGUGAGGAGAUGGGGAGAAAUCUAGAGUGUAGAGAAGCUUGGAUUUCCGUUGACACACUUUUUUUUUUCCCCUAGAGAGAUACUGACACACAGUCACUGGAUUAAAUUGAUGCUCCCAUCUCAAUUAACUCAUUAGGGGUGUUUUAUCCAUACCUGAAGACUCCUUGGAGAUCCCUAUUGUAAGAUUGGGAACUCUGCCUUCUAACCUGGCUCAUUGACUCACUUCUGAGUGGACUGAGACAAAUUCUACCAAUUGUUGAAUUUGUUUCCUUGUUUGUGAGGCACUGAAGUAAGUAAUCCUCUUGUGGAAGUGCCUGGGCCACCUUUUAAAAGUUGGUCACCCCUGUAGCGGGAUCGGAAAUAUUGCAGUUAUUUUUGGAGUUGGAUGAAGAAAUGUAUCUUGAAAUUAAAAAGUAGUUAAACCUAUAGCAUUUACCAUAGCUGGGUUUGAAUUUCGUAUCAAAGACAGUGUCAAAUCUAGGUUGGUUAAUAAAUAAACUAGAAGCAAACACAAUAAAUGGGAAUAAAACAUUUAACAGAUGUUAAGUUUGGCUCACGCCACACGGUGGCAGGCUUAGUCUGUGUUGUGCUUCCUUUUCAAGCAGCAAAUCUAAAUGCUUGCAUUUAACUACAUUAAAUCUUUUUAGAAAGUUAUCUUUUAGAAAGUUAACUUUUAGAAAGUAUGACAUAAGUUAUUAAUUUGUCAAGAUUAUAUUUUAUUAUAAAGUGUACUUUACGUUGUAUGAUACCUGAGCAGCAGUGAUUUGAGCCUUCAACAGGACAUUCUACCUCUAGAUCUCAAUUACUUCAUCACUAAAAUGAUGGGCUUGGGUUACUUACAGUUCUAAAAUUGUCAUACCUCUCCUAUAACUAAAAAAAGCCUAAACAUUCUUCUUCAGUAACAAGAAUUUCAGUCAUAUUGCAGUUAACUUGAUAAGGAAUAUAGUUUUUUAGUUAGAUUGCCUAGAUUUGAAUUUGAGUUCUGUCAUUUAUUAACCGUGAGGUAAGGAACUUCACAAGUUCCAGUUUCCUCACCUGUAAAGUGCUAUAAAUUAUACUACAUAUCCAACAGGGUUGUUAGGAUUAAAUGCGGAAAAAUGUAUGUGUGGCAGAGACUUGCAAACCGUUCACCAAAUCAUUUCUUUUUUUUCCUGGAUAAUCAGCUAAACCACAUUUCACAUCGUCACCUGCAGUUAAUUGUGGUCAUAAGACUGAAUUCUGGCCAAUGGAAUGUAAGAGAAAGAAAUUCAUGUCACUCCUAGGCUCAGCUCUCAAAAAUCUCCCAUUGUGAUCUUUGUUCUUUGAACUUCUGCAGUUUCCCCGGAAGCUACUUGUUAAAGAUGUCAGGACAACGAUCUUCAGGAAAUGGAAGGAAACAUGGUCCCGAAGCACGGUGUGGAGGAGAGCUUUAUGCCUGUUAGAAACACUCGUUUUGGACUUUACGUUCUUGACAGAUGCUUUUCACCAGCAUGGUCCUGUAUUAGCGUGAACGCCAGGAGGAAGAGUCCUUGUCCUCGCCUGCCUUGGAGAUAGAGCCCAGUUUCUUCUUAAAGUACUACUUGUAAAUUGACAGACUUUUGCCCUGUAGAAAAAGGUUAGAGAGCUCUAAAAUAAUCUUUGGAACAACUAAUUUUGCUGUUUUCAGAUAACAAUUAUAGAGAGCUUCUGGAGCUGGGAAAAAAAAAAGUAAAAAAAAAAAAGAAAUCACCCAGCACUAGUGCACAGGUCAAUUUUAGGUGAAGAGCCUAGGAUUUGUCUAAUGGAAAGUUACUCAAUCCAAUAAAUGAUACUAAUAAAUGGC